GACGAACGCUGGCGGCGUGCUUAACACAUGCAAGUCGAACGGAAAGGCCUGCUUUCCCUUGUGGAUUGCGGGUGCUCGAGUGGCGAACGGGUGAGUAACACGUGAGUGAUCUGCCCCCAACUUGGGUAUAAGCCUGGGAAACUGGGUCUAAUUCCCGAUAGGACUGCAGGGUGGUGCCUGUGGUGGAAAACGAUUUUCUAGUGGUUGGGGAUGAGCUCGCGGCCUAUCAGCUUGUUGGUGGGGUAAUGGCCUACCAAGGCGGCGACGGGUAGCCGGCCUGAGAGGGUGGACGGCCACAUUGGGACUGGGAUACGGCCCAGACGCCUACGGGAGGCAGCAGUGGGGAAUAUUGCACAAUGGGCGGAAGCCUGAUGCAGCGACGCCGCGUGGGGGAUGACGGCCUUCGGGUUGUAAACUCCUUUCGACCGCGAGGAAGCCACCUGGUUGGAAGGGUGGUGACGGUAGUGGUAGAAGAAGCACCGGCUAACUACGUG
RNAcentral lists this ribosomal RNA (494 nucleotides) under uncultured bacterium. Its description in RNAcentral is "partial 16S ribosomal RNA". It matches the Rfam family "Bacterial small subunit ribosomal RNA", at positions 28 to 507 of the family's 1533-position model. The record is from RNAcentral.